RNAcentral lists this long non-coding RNA (1141 nucleotides) under Salvia miltiorrhiza (redroot sage). RNAcentral describes it as "long non-coding RNA (SMIL_LNC002293)". Lineage: Eukaryota; Viridiplantae; Streptophyta; Magnoliopsida; Lamiales; Lamiaceae. The record is from RNAcentral.
ACUCCCUCCGUCCCAAUAUUCAAGUCCCGUAUUCCUUUUUGGGACGUCCCAUGUAACAAGUCCCCUUUCCUUUUUGGGUAAAUUUUAAGGGCAACUAAUUUCUAAUUAAACAUGAAUUACUUUUAAUCCCCCAUCUACCUCACAGUCACACUAUUCGUCUCUCUCUCUCUCUCUACCACCUCCCCCCUUCCCCUCUCUCUCUCCUCUGCGAUCUCUUCUCCGGCGCCUCCACCGCGCCUCCCUCCUCCGCCGUCGGCGACACUCACGGCUAUUCGCCGGCCUCAUCGCCCUCUCCAUCUCAACACCCAAUUUCAUCCCACCCUCUGCUCUCUCUCUCUCUAGCCGAGGGGACGCGACGAAGGUGAAGCUCCUGCUGCCUCGCCGGAAAUCGAGCAAAUCAGCGGCGAUUCGCGGAGAGAGGUGGUGUUGUGUUGGCUUGUGCUGUUGGUGUUGUUGUGUGAGCGUCAGUCGAGAGAGAGAGGUGAGAGUUCGGGAGUCAGGGCGGCAACGACGGUGGCUAUUAGUUGCUGCUGUCCGGCGGAACAAUGGGAAGAGGGAGGGGGAAGCUAGGGAACGGCGGUGCGGACGUCGGAAAUCGAAGCUUGAGGGGCAGAUUUAGGGAUCUAGGGUUUCACCGAGAUCUAAGCCCUAAAUCUGCCAAGAUCUAAGCCCUUCCCCCUCUGUAAAUCGAGAUCUAAGCCCUAAAUUCGCCGAGAACUAUCGCGCCACCGCCUCUCGCCUCCGCCCUCCGGACGCCACCGUUCGAGCCGCCUCCGCCCGCACCGUUCGAGAUUUAGGGAUCUAUGUUUUUGAUUUUUUUUUGUUUUUUAAAUUUCUGGGUCUCUUUGUUUCUGCGGUGGGCUCGCCGGUGUUUCACUGUUCCGGCGUUAAGCGCGGUGGCAGUCAGCCAAGGAGCCGGUGUCUCACUGUUCCGACGUUAAGCGAGGUGGCAGCCGGCCCAGAAAGAAGAGAGUGUUUUAAUUUUUAUUUUUAAAGUCAUUUAGUUAAACAAGUUAAUCAAUGCAUAAAUAACAUUAAAUAAUACACUAAACAUGUGGGGUCAUCUACUUUUACAUCUACUUUAAUUCUCCUAAAUACCCGUGCCCAAAAGAAAGGGGACUUCAAUAUUGGGACGGAGGGA